This is a long non-coding RNA of Oncorhynchus nerka (sockeye salmon), 868 nucleotides long. RefSeq lists it as uncharacterized. Lineage: Eukaryota; Metazoa; Chordata; Actinopteri; Salmoniformes; Salmonidae. The record is from RefSeq and is a predicted model, not a curated record. The transcript has 4 exons.
UGAUUGGUUACAGGUUGUCCUCUACAACAUAUAAAUACACGCCACAGUUAUUUCUCUAUACUUCACAUGUUCAAUGACUGUUAUGGCUUGUAAGUGCUGUGUAGUGGGGCUGUUCCUGGUUUUGCUGUUCUGGGAUGUUUAUUGCUAUCCCUAUCAACAAGCCUACAGGUUGGGCCAAGUGUACCCAAGAACUUCAACUCUAUAUGGUCCACUUGUCAAACCCAGCCAAAUGAACACCUACACACGUUACUUCCUUAAACAUGAACCCAUUUCUUCUGGUUCAAGCCUCCCUGUUCCUGUUGACUCUAGGAGUCCUAUUGAUGGGGGCUCCAGUCUUGGUAUUCAGAGUUUUGCUCCCCUGAAGACUACUGCUUCCCCUUACCUCGUUCCUCAGGCUCCUGAGCAGACUGGAUGUCUUUCUGCAGGAGUAGCUUACCCUAGUUUUCUUCCUUUACCUCCACUGUGUGAGUCUUCACCAAGUAACUUCCAGGCAGGGGAAAUCUCUCACUUUGAGAGUGUUUAUGAACAUGGCAACAGUCAGAGUGAGUUUGAAGACCAACGGUUCCCACUUCCGUUGGUUAUUGGACCAGAACCUAGCCAGGAAGGUCUUGAAGCUAAUUAUGGGGAGCUGUUCGUCACUAGGAAGUUCCCUGCUGGCAUCAUCACCCAUUUAAGAACCAAAUAUGAGCAUGGAAAUGACCAAUGGAGCUCAGCUGGUUUCGUCAGGUAUCGUCCUGCUCCCGUCCAAUACCGACCACUAUAUCCUCAUGCCCACCGGAAGUGACCGGUAGGAGAAGGUUCUGUGCUGACCUGGAUCCUGCUGUUUCAUGGCUGCGUUGAUUGCUAAUAAACCUACUUGAGAAAUGUA